Molecule: transfer RNA, 110 nt
Filed under: Penicillium vulpinum
Lineage: Eukaryota; Fungi; Ascomycota; Eurotiomycetes; Eurotiales; Aspergillaceae
Rfam family: tRNA
About the family: Transfer RNA (tRNA) molecules are approximately 80 nucleotides in length. Their secondary structure includes four short double-helical elements and three loops (D, anti-codon, and T loops).
Source: Rfam by way of RNAcentral
GCAACUUUGGCCGAGUGGUUAAGGCGCUAGACUCAAGAGUCUCCUCUUCACUGAAUACAGUGAGCAUUCUAGUCACGAAAGUGGCGUGGGUUCGAGUCCCACAGGUUGCA